This 497-nucleotide ribosomal RNA is filed under the name uncultured bacterium. RNAcentral describes it as "partial 16S ribosomal RNA". It matches the Rfam family "Bacterial small subunit ribosomal RNA", at positions 28 to 507 of the family's 1533-position model. The record is from RNAcentral.
GAUGAACGCUGGCGGCGUGCCUAAUACAUGCAAGUCGAGCGAACAGACGAGGAGCUUGCUCCUCGGACGUGAGCGGCGGACGGGUGAGUAACACGUGUAUCACCUACCUGUAAGACUGGGAUAACUUCGGGAAACCGGAGCAAAUACCGGAUAAGAUAUUGAACCACGGGGGUGAAUGGAAAAAGACGGUUGUGCGGGAACUAAUCGCGGCAUCCGCGCCGCAUGAGCUAGUUGGUAAGGUAACAGCUUACAAAGGGAACGAGGCGUGGCCGACGUGAGAGGGUGAUCGGCCACACUGGAACUGAGCCACGGUCAAGACUCCUACGGGAGGCAGCAGUAGGGAAUGUUCCGCAGUGGGCGAAAGCCUUACAGAGCAACGCCGCGUGUGUGAUGAAGGUCUUCGGAGCGUAAAACUCUGUUAUUAGGGAAGAACAACUUUGUACGUAAAUAUGCCCGUAUUGACGGUACCUAAUCAGAAAGCAACGGCUAACUACGUG